AGACAGCAGUCGCCACGGUAAUACGAAGGGGGCUAGCGUUGUUCGGAAUCACUGGGCGUAAAGCGCACGUAGGCGGAUUUUUAAGUCAGGGGUGAAAUCCCGAGGCUCAACCUCGGAACUGCCUUUGAUACUGGAGAUCUUGAGUUCGGAAGAGGUUGGUGGAACAGCUAGUGUAGAGGUGAAAUUCGUAGAUAUUAGCUAGAACACCAGUGGCGAAGGCGGCCAACUGGUCCGACACUGACGCUGAGGUGCGAAAGCGUGGGGAGCAAACAGGAUUAGAUACCCCUGUAGUCCCUGUCUCUUAUAC
Molecule: ribosomal RNA, 307 nt
Filed under: uncultured bacterium
Lineage: Bacteria
Description: partial 16S ribosomal RNA
Rfam family: Bacterial small subunit ribosomal RNA
Source: RNAcentral